GUAAUGAUCCAAUCACGGCUCAGACAAUCCGAUUGGUUAUUUUCCCAAACCAAUCAGAAAUCACUCAAUGUUAAUCAUACCACACCAAUCAGAGUCGUUCGCGCUAGGUACAAACGAUCUGCUAUCCCCGCGCAAGUAUAAAAGUAGGGACAAACCACGCACAGAUUGUCAGUAAUUUUCUAACAGUUGGACGGUUAGGACCUCUAAGCAGAGCAAGCUCCCUAUCCCAUCCCAAAGCCAACCGGCGAGCAACGGAGCAAAGCCCCACCGAGGAAGACAUCAUUGCCAGACCGACGACUGCGAGAGGCACGAGGUCGAAUACCCAGUCACGGUUUGACUGCCCAUCCGGUCGCUUGGCACUAUCCCGGCCUUUGAUUAAAGGUGCGCGGGCUCGGUUGCAGAAUAUAAGGGCUUUUGCGGCUCCAGCUGCUUCGUCUGGCUUCUCUGCAACGCCAAUAGUCCAACGCCAAUAGUCCAAACAAGAGUUAUUUAGUCCAACCGAUUUGUUGAUUUGUAAAGCUAGAAGUGUGUGAUUUCCAGUGAAAAACCGAUGUAAGCAUGAAUUUUCUUGCCAUAUUGAGUCAUGAAAGUGAUUGUGUGCUCAUCCAUCCGCCACAGCACCAACAACGGUGGUCGGUUUUAGUCGGAGUCCACGUGAGAUUCUUCAGCGGUUCCCAACCAGCGACGUGGGACUUGGCCUGGCUGAGAAAGAAGAUAAGUGAAGAAAAUGUGUGCACACUACUGACAUUUUUGUAACUGCGCGUGUGUUGAAGUUAGUGUUAAGCAGAAUUAGCUCACAAUUUACGGCCGUUUAGAAAUUAAAUUGUAAUGGACUUGCUAGUGAGCAAUAGAUUGUGUUAACGUA
Long non-coding RNA from Armigeres subalbatus, 865 nucleotides. RefSeq lists it as uncharacterized. The transcript has 2 exons. The record is from RefSeq and is a predicted model, not a curated record. NCBI's taxonomy places the organism in Eukaryota, Metazoa, Arthropoda, Insecta, Diptera, Culicidae.